This 498-nucleotide ribosomal RNA is filed under the name uncultured bacterium. Its description in RNAcentral is "partial 16S ribosomal RNA". It matches the Rfam family "Bacterial small subunit ribosomal RNA", at positions 28 to 523 of the family's 1533-position model. The record is from RNAcentral.
GAUGAACGCUAGCGGCAGGCCUAAUACAUGCAAGUCGAACGGUAUUGAGGAGCUUGCUCCUCAUGAGAGUGGCGCACGGGUGCGUAACACGUAUGUAACCUACCUUAAUCAGGGGGAUAGCCUCUCGAAAGAGAGAUUAACACCGCAUAAAAUCACACUAUGGCAUCAUAGAAUGAUCAAAUAUUUAUAGGAUUAAGAUGGGCAUGCGGAACAUUAGCUAGUUGGUAAGGUAACGGCUUACCAAGGCUACGAUGUUUAGGGGAUCUGAGAGGAUGGCCCCCCACACUGGUACUGAGACACGGACCAGACUCCUACGGGAGGCAGCAGUAAGGAAUAUUGGUCAAUGGACGGAAGUCUGAACCAGCCAUGCCGCGUGCAGGAAGACGGCCCUACGGGUUGUAAACUGCUUUUGUACCGGAAUAAACCUCUUUACGUGUAAGGAGUUGAAUGUACGGUAAGAAUAAGGAUCGGCUAACUCCGUGCCAGCAGCCGCGGUAA